This 468-nucleotide long non-coding RNA is filed under the name Physcomitrium patens. Its description in RNAcentral is "long non-coding RNA (PPAT_LNC001222)". The record is from RNAcentral. Lineage: Eukaryota; Viridiplantae; Streptophyta; Bryopsida; Funariales; Funariaceae.
UUUUGUUGAAGGAAAGAAAUCUUUAAGUAGUUGCUAAUGGUCAAUAGAGUACAAGUGUUGUUAGGGAUAUCCCAUAAGAUUAGGUGUUGGUCUAUAGUGCAUUAGAGUACAAGGGGAGGGUUGGUCCUAGGAGAUAUCUCAUAUGGGUUGUAGCACUUGGUACCUUGGUACUAGUAUAUAAGGAAAGGGUUGGCAUGGGAAGAAUCAUCUCAUACCACACUCUAUUUGUUAAAGUGCAACCUUGCUGGUCCUAACUUACUUGUGUGGAGUAUGCUUUCUAUGUUUCAAUAGGUUAUGGGCCCACAUUCUCUUACCAAGUAAGUUGUUCUUGCAUUAUUUCUUUGUUGCUUAUUUUUGGUGGUUGAGAUCUUAUGGUAGAGUGUUGCUAGUGAAUUGUUGAAGUCAUUGCUCCUGGAUUUGUGAGUGUAUGAGCUUAGUGCAAGACCUUGAUAGUGUCUUUGCUAAAGG